GAAAUGCGAUAAGUAAUGUGAAUUGCAGAAUUCAGUGAAUCAUCGAAUCUUUUAACGCACCUUUCGCUCCUUGGUAUUCCUUGGAGCAUGCCUUUUUGAGUAUCAUGAAAUCUUCAAAGUAAAUCUUUUGUUAACUCAAUUGGUUUCUACUUUGGUAUUGGAGGUCUUUGCAGCUUCACACCUGCUCCUCUUUGUUCAUUAGCUGGAUCUCAGUGUUAUGCUUGGUUCCACUCGGCGUGAUAAGUUAUCUAUCGCUGAGGACACUGUAAAAGGUGGCCAAGGUAAAUGCAGAUGAACCGCUUCUAAUAGUCCAUUGACUUGGACAAUACUUUUAUGAUCUGAUCUCAAAUCAGGUAGGACUACCCGCUGAACUUAAGC
Molecule: unclassified non-coding RNA, 378 nt
Filed under: plant metagenome
Description: partial contains 5.8S ribosomal RNA, internal transcribed spacer 2, and large subunit ribosomal RNA
Rfam family: 5.8S ribosomal RNA (bases 1-105)
Source: RNAcentral